This is a long non-coding RNA of Meriones unguiculatus (Mongolian gerbil), 576 nucleotides long. RefSeq lists it as uncharacterized. The record is from RefSeq and is a predicted model, not a curated record. NCBI's taxonomy places the organism in Eukaryota, Metazoa, Chordata, Mammalia, Rodentia, Muridae. The transcript is spliced from 3 exons.
CUCUAUCCAGUGCAAGAAGGGCUCAGCCGGAUAAACGCCCGCUCGACCACCAUGAGCUGGUGUCCUACCUCUGCCCUCUCAAAACUCAACCUCGGGAGCAAGCAGGUUCCACCUAGCCCUGGGCCCUACCUGUCCACCCUCUUCCCAGAGAGUAGGCAGGCUUGCCACUCUACCACCAAAAGGUAGAGACAAGUAAGGCGCCUGGGCCUGAGAGCCAUGGCUCAGCCUCGGACUUUCUUUUACGCCAAAGGGGCUGGAGAUCAAGGCCCCUCCCUGGGCUGCGCCCGAAAACCGGGACAAGGGGCUACUGUGGUCCCAGAGGUAAAUAACUCUCUGGUGAGAAGGAACUGUACUGGGCUCUGAAGAGGAGACCUUCUGGAUGAAUGAGGUAUGGGAUAUGGGACUGAUUCAGAUUGUCCAGAGUGGCAAACUAUUUGCCUCGUGUGGGCUCUUGGCCAGCUGCAGAUGGUUUAAUUCUGAGGACUCUGAGAAGGGCUCCAAGAAAGAAAGCUGCUGCCGCUCCUGGUUGCUGUUGAUGCAGUGUGUCAAGAAGAAAUUGGAGAUAUCCUGAAAUGA